Molecule: long non-coding RNA, 269 nt
Organism: Salarias fasciatus (jewelled blenny)
Lineage: Eukaryota; Metazoa; Chordata; Actinopteri; Blenniiformes; Blenniidae
Exons: 3
Source: RefSeq, a predicted model, not a curated record
ACUGAUCCCAGCUGUGAAGAACUGCAGGAAGGCUGAUCUUUCUGGCUGUGGACUCUCUGAUCCUCACUGUGAAGUGAUCUCCUCAGCUCUGACCUCUGACCCCUCCCAUCUGAAACAUCUGGACCUGAGUGAGAACAUCCUGCAGGAUUCCUCAGUGAAGAUUGUGUGUUCUGGACUGGAGAGUCCAAACUGUAACCUGGAGACUCUGAGGUUGAGGAGCUGCAGUUUGUCAGAGAUCAGCUGUUCUUCUCUGGCCUCAGCUCUGAAGU